ACGGCUGUGGCUCAGUUGGUAGAGUGGGUUGUCCACACUAACCGUAGGGUUGGCGGUUCGAUUCCGGCCUCGGGUG
This is a non-coding RNA of Ameiurus melas (black bullhead), 76 nucleotides long. Lineage: Eukaryota; Metazoa; Chordata; Actinopteri; Siluriformes; Ictaluridae. The record is from the annotation of a GenBank genome assembly.